Molecule: long non-coding RNA, 1380 nt
Filed under: Piliocolobus tephrosceles (Ugandan red Colobus)
Lineage: Eukaryota; Metazoa; Chordata; Mammalia; Primates; Cercopithecidae
Description: lncRNA (ENSPTEG00000014073.1)
Source: RNAcentral
AUGUUAGUUUUAUUAAUAAUAGAAAAAAAAAGUUUUAUAACUUAUGAUCCUAAUUUUUACAAAGAAACCUCAUAUAAUAUGGUAUAUGUUGGUGAUGUGGAAAAUGAUGAUAUGAAAAAUGAUGAUAUGAAAAAUGAUGAUGUGAAAAACUUAAAAAAUUAUACAGAUAAUUAUAUGAAAUAUUUAGGUAUAAAACAAAUUUCAUAUGUACCAAAUGGUAGUAAUAAUAAUAAUAAUAAUAGUAUUAUUCAAAAUGGAUAUCAGCCAUAUAUAGAGAAAAAAACAUUAAAUGAAUACAAUUAUAAUAUGAAUAAAUUUAAUAAUAAUAACAACAAUAAUAACAAUAAUAAUAAUAUUAUACCUCCCAAACAACACAAUGAGUUUGUUGCUACAAAUAAUAAUGUAACAUUAAAUACAAACAAAAGUACUUAUCCAAAAGUAAAAAAAUAUCCAAAUAAUAUCAAUCAAAUAAAUGAAAAUAAUUUAUUAUAUAAUUAUAAUUCGGAUGUACAAAAUAAACAAGUAUAUAAUAAUACCAAUCGAAUGUUACCUAACAUAUAUCAUAAAAAUAAAAAUGUAGACAGAAAAAUCCCUAUUGCAUAUCGUGAUGAUUUCGAUUCAAAAACAAAAGGCUGUUGUUUUAAUAUAAGUCCAUAUAUAUAUCCAAAUAAUAAUUAUAAUAAAAAUAAUAACGUUGGUAAUUCAUUAACGUAUGGAAAUUAUGUAGAUGAAUAUCCUUAUAUGAAUGAUUUUAAUAAUUUUUAUGCAACUCCACCAUAUGUUUAUUUAAUGAAAGAAAAUGAAAAUGGAUGUUCUUUUAUAAAACAAAAAACAAAUUGUAUAUUAAAUGGAUGUAAAUCAAGUAAACCUAAAUAUGAAUAUAUUAUUAAACAGAGACCACCUAUUUAUACAAAUAUGCCUUUUAAUCAAGAUAAUAAAAGGUUUAAUAUAUUUAAAAAAUUAACACUAGCAUUAGGAACAUAUUUAGAUGAUAUUGUAAAUACAAUGAUGGAUAUGUGUGAAGUUUCAUAUAAAAAUAUAGUAAAAAAUAAUAAUACUAAUUUAUAUGAUUUACAUCCUUUUUAUAAUCCGGACCCAAAUUAUACAAGAACUGAAAGACCUACAAUGAAAACAGGAAGCGAUUUAAUUGAUAAAAUAAAUUGUGCUUUAGAUAGUACUACAUUAGAGAAACAUAAAAAUUUGCCAGAAGAUUUUAAAAAAAUAGUUAUUCCAGAUACUGAAAAAACAGGGAUUAAAUUAAUUGAUGGUUUUAAUAAUGUGUUGGAUAAUGUUUUAAAUGAUCCAAUGUCAUAUAAUAAAUAUGAAUAUUAUAAGGAUAAAAAUAUGAACAUUAAUAAAAUGAAGCAAGAGAAACUGUAA